Molecule: transfer RNA, 75 nt
Filed under: Bacteroidota bacterium
Lineage: Bacteria; Pseudomonadati; Bacteroidota
Also listed under: 6 other names
Description: Bacteroidetes bacterium tRNA-Val
Rfam family: tRNA
About the family: Transfer RNA (tRNA) molecules are approximately 80 nucleotides in length. Their secondary structure includes four short double-helical elements and three loops (D, anti-codon, and T loops). Further hydrogen bonds mediate the characteristic L-shaped molecular structure. tRNAs have two regions of fundamental functional importance: the anti-codon, which is responsible for specific mRNA codon recognition, and the 3' end, to which the tRNAs corresponding amino acid is attached (by aminoacyl-tRNA synthetases). tRNAs cope with the degeneracy of the genetic code in two manners: having more than one tRNA (with a specific anti-codon) for a particular amino acid; and 'wobble' base-pairing, i.e. permitting non-standard base-pairing at the 3rd anti-codon position.
Source: RNAcentral
GGGCGAUUAGCUCAGUUGGUUUAGAGCGCUACAUUGACAUUGUAGAGGUCAGAGGUUCGAAUCCUCUAUCGCCCA